This 492-nucleotide ribosomal RNA is filed under the name uncultured bacterium. RNAcentral's name for it is "partial 16S ribosomal RNA". It matches the Rfam family "Bacterial small subunit ribosomal RNA", at positions 29 to 507 of the family's 1533-position model. The record is from RNAcentral.
AGUGAACGCUGGCGGUAGGCCUAACACAUGCAAGUCGAACGGCAGCACAGUAAGAUCUUGCUCUUACGGGUGGCGAGUGGCGGACGGGUGAGGAAUACAUCGGAAUCUACUUUUUCGUGGGGGAUAACGUAGGGCAACUUACGCUAAUACCGCAUACGACCUACGGGUUAAAGCAUUUGAUCUUCCGACCUUUCGCGUUUUAAUUAGCCGAUGUCGGAUUAGCUAGUUGGCUGGGUAAAGGCCCACCAAGGCGACGAUCCGUAGCUUGUCUGAGAGGAUGAGCAGCCACACUGGAACUGAGACACGGUCCAGACUACUACGGGAGGAAGCAGUGGGGAAUAUUGGACAAAGGGCGCAAGCCUGAUCCAGCCAUACCGCGUGGGUGAAGAAGGCCUUCGGGUUGUAAAGACCUUUUGUUGGGAAAGAAAAGAAGCAGGUUAAUACCCCGCUGUUCUGACGGUACCCAAAGAAUAAGCACCGGCUAACUUCGUG